Molecule: ribosomal RNA, 1372 nt
Filed under: uncultured bacterium
Lineage: Bacteria
Description: bacterial SSU rRNA
Rfam family: Bacterial small subunit ribosomal RNA
Source: RNAcentral
GAUGAACGCUGGCGGCGUGCCUAAUACAUGCAAGUCGAGCGAACGGACGAGAAGCUUGCUUCUCUGAUGUUAGCGGCGGACGGGUGAGUAACACGUGGAUAACCUACCUAUAAGACUGGGAUAACUUCGGGAAACCGGAGCUAAUACCGGAUAAUAUUUUGAACCGCAUGGUUCAAAAGUGAAAGACGGUCUUGCUGUCACUUAUAGAUGGAUCCGCGCUGCAUUAGCUAGUUGGUAAGGUAACGGCUUACCAAGGCAACGAUGCAUAGCCGACCUGAGAGGGUGAUCGGCCACACUGGAACUGAGACACGGUCCAGACUCCUACGGGAGGCAGCAGUAGGGAAUCUUCCGCAAUGGGCGAAAGCCUGACGGAGCAACGCCGCGUGAGUGAUGAAGGUCUUCGGAUCGUAAAACUCUGUUAUUAGGGAAGAACAUAUGUGUAAGUAACUGUGCACAUCUUGACGGUACCUAAUCAGAAAGCCACGGCUAACUACGUGCCAGCAGCCGCGGUAAUACGUAGGUGGCAAGCGUUAUCCGGAAUUAUUGGGCGUAAAGCGCGCGUAGGCGGUUUUUUAAGUCUGAUGUGAAAGCCCACGGCUCAACCGUGGAGGGUCAUUGGAAACUGGAAAACUUGAGUGCAGAAGAGGAAAGUGGAAUUCCAUGUGUAGCGGCGAAAUGCGCAGAGAUAUGGAGGACCACCAGUGGCGAAGGCGACUUUCUGGUCUGUAACUGACGCUGAUGUGCGAAAGCGUGGGGAUCAAACAGGAUUAGAUACCCUGGUAGUCCACGCCGUAAACGAUGAGUGCUAAGUGUUAGGGGGUUUCCGCCCCUUAGUGCUGCAGCUAACGCAUUAAGCACUCCGCCUGGGGAGUACGACCGCAAGGUUGAAACUCAAAGGAAUUGACGGGGACCCGCACAAGCGGUGGAGCAUGUGGUUUAAUUCGAAGCAACGCGAAGAACCUUACCAAAUCUUGACAUCCUUUGACAACUCUAGAGAUAGAGCUUUCCCCUUCGGGGGACAAAGUGACAGGUGGUGCAUGGUUGUCGUCAGCUCGUGUCGUGAGAUGUUGGGUUAAGUCCUGCAACGAGCGCAACCCUUAAGCUUAGUUGCCAUCAUUAAGUUGGGCACUCUAAGUUGACUGCCGGUGACAAACCGGAGGAAGGUGGGGAUGACGUCAAAUCAUCAUGCCCCUUAUGAUUUGGGCUACACACGUGCUACAAUGGACAAUACAAAGGGCAGCGAAACCGUGAGGUCAAGCAAAUCCCAUAAAGUUGUUCUCAGUUCGGAUUGUAGUCUGCAACUCGACUACAUGAAGCUGGAAUCGCUAGUAAUCGUAGAUCAGCAUGCUACGGUGAAUACGUUCCCGGGUCU